GAUGAACGCUGGCGGCGUGCCUAAUACAUUCAAGUCGAGCGAAUGGAUUGAGAGCUUGCUCUUAUGAAGUUAGCGGCGGACGUGUGAGUAACACGUGGGUAACCUGCCCAUAAGACUGGGAUAACUCCGGGAAACCGGGGCUAAUACCGGAUAACAUUUUGAACCGCAUGGUUCGAAAUUGAAAGGCGGCUUCAGCUGUCACUUAUGGAUGGACCGGCGUCGCAUUAGCUAGUUGGUGAGGUAACGGAUCACCAAGGCAACGAUGCGUAGCCGACCUGAGAGGGUGUUCGGCCACACUGGGACUGAGGCACGGCCCAGACUCCUACGUGAGGCAGAAGUAGGGAAUCUUCCGCAAUGGACGAAAGUCUGACGGAGCAACGCCGCGUAAGUGAUGAAGGAUUUCGGGUCGUAAAACUCUGUUGUUAGGGAAGAACAAGUGCUAGUUGAAUAAGCUGGCACCUUGACGGUACCUAACCAGAAAGCCACGGCUAACUACGUGCCAGCCGCCGCCGUAA
Molecule: ribosomal RNA, 515 nt
Filed under: uncultured bacterium
Lineage: Bacteria
Description: partial 16S ribosomal RNA
Rfam family: Bacterial small subunit ribosomal RNA
Source: RNAcentral